Molecule: transfer RNA, 73 nt
Filed under: Candidatus Pacearchaeota archaeon
Lineage: Archaea; Nanobdellati
Description: tRNA-Gln
Rfam family: tRNA
About the family: Transfer RNA (tRNA) molecules are approximately 80 nucleotides in length.
Source: RNAcentral
AGCCCUAUAGUAUAGUGGUCAAGUAUGCGGGCCUUUGGCGCCCGAGACCUCGGUUCGAAUCCGAGUAGGGCUA